Molecule: long non-coding RNA, 692 nt
Filed under: Zonotrichia albicollis (white-throated sparrow)
Lineage: Eukaryota; Metazoa; Chordata; Aves; Passeriformes; Passerellidae
Description: lncRNA (ENSZALG00000016329.1)
Source: RNAcentral
GGAAUUUAAGAGAUCAAAUAACUUUCAUUAGAAAUAAAAUUACCUUUUUUUUUUUUUUUUGCUAGCUUUGCUUCCUUGAAGAGGCAGACAAAUAAUUCAAGCCACUGAAUUCACACAGAAAAGCAAAAUUAAGACCUCAACGAAUUUGCCAUCAUAGUUCAAAACCUGUUCAAGAAGAAAUAUUUUCAACAUGAAAGGCAUCUUUUUUAUUUGCGUUCUUACUAUGACAUUGUCCAGGAGGUCAAUUACUGUUAUUAUGUACAAACACAUUUAAUAUUGUAUUAAGAUAUAUUCAGGUCUUCUGAACUUUAUCUAGAAGAACAAGUAGCUCCACUAUUUAACAGACUUAGGCUUUGAAAAUGGGGUUUAAUAUCUCAUGACAUCUAAUACCUACAGAUCAGCCUUUCAAGAAAACGAUACCAGGAAUUUUGCAGAGCACCUGUUUUCAGGCAGACUAUUUGUUUCCAAGACAGCAUAAAUCACCAAGUGUCACUGAGAAAGUGAGGAGAAAAACAGAAAGGAGCACCAGGGAGAGCACUGCAAGAGCUCUUCCAAAGCAUGCAAAGCUUUCUAUGAAUUGUGAAAUUAAGAUGACAGUGUUACAGAAAUGGAGGAAACAUGGAACAUUUGAAGGCCCACUGACUGCAUAUGAGAAGAUAGCAGAGAAAAGCAGCAACCAUCAUAUGCCUUAA